This 372-nucleotide unclassified non-coding RNA is filed under the name Hevea brasiliensis (rubber tree). The record is from RNAcentral. Lineage: Eukaryota; Viridiplantae; Streptophyta; Magnoliopsida; Malpighiales; Euphorbiaceae.
CUCAUCUUUUCGGAUAAAGUAAGAAGCUCUCUGUUUCUCCCCCAUCUCCUCUUCACCAUGAAGUGCUGUGCAGGACAAAAUGAGGGGUGUGGGAAUCCCAAUUGCAGCUGUGGAUCCGGCUGCAAGUGUGGAGACAGCUGCAAGUGUUGAUGGAGAGAAUGGAAGGGGGUUUGAUUCCCCCUUAAUCUGUGAAUUGUUUGCUGCUAAAUAAGUGGCCAUUAAGAUGCAAACUGUUUGCAUCAUGAAUGUUCUCCAUGGCCUAUAUGGUUUGUGAUGGAUUUGUGUAUGGUGUGGUCUAAACUACUUGAGUAACGUAUAUAUGUAUGUGUUGUUUGAUGUAUGAACUAGUAACCCUUAUAGCUGUUCCUGGUA